AUUUCUGUCAACCCCCAUUUGAUUAUAUGUGUUUUCCUCUCCAAUGUCCAUCCCUAUAAACUAAUCUUUGGCAAUGGAGGUGGUUCUAGGUUGCAAAGAUUUUGAAGAUUCUUGGGCAGCAAGAACAUGUUGGGAAAGGAGUAGAAGAAUACUCAGCUACGGAUAUGGAUGGCAUUAGUGAAGAUUGGUCGACUUAUGCGGUUAACUCUAUUUUUAAGUUAUAAAUCGUAUUUUUGGUGUUGAGGAUGUAUUGACAAACAAUUCUUUUUUUUUUUGUUAACGUUAAAAUAUUUGUAGUAUACUUGGCAAAUGAUUAUGUAAUGGAUUGUUUUGGU
Long non-coding RNA from Helianthus annuus (common sunflower), 335 nucleotides. RefSeq lists it as uncharacterized. The transcript has 2 exons. The record is from RefSeq and is a predicted model, not a curated record. Lineage: Eukaryota; Viridiplantae; Streptophyta; Magnoliopsida; Asterales; Asteraceae.